CCUACGGUGUGCCGCAGUGAGGAAUAUUGGUCAAUGGACGCAAGUCUGAACCAGCCAUGCCGCGUGCAGGAUGACGGCUCUAUGAGUUGUAAACUGCUUUUGUACGAGGGUAAACCCCGAUACGUGUAUCUGGUUGACAGUAUCGUACUAAUAAGGAUCGGCUACCUCCGUGCAAGCAGCCGAGGUAAUACGGAGGAUCCGAGCGUUAUCCGGAUUUAUUGGUUGUAAAGGGUGCGUAGGCGGUUUGAUAAGUUAGAGGUGAGAUGUCGGGGCUCAACCCCGAAACUGCCUCUAAUACGGUUGGACUAGAGAAUAGUUGCGGUAGGCGGAAUGUAUGGUGUAGCGGUGAAAUGCUUAGAGAUCAUACAGAACACCGAUUGCGAAGGCAGCUUACCAAACUAUAUCUGACGUUGAGGCACGAAAGCGUGGGUAGCAAACAGGAUUAGAUACCCGGGUAGUC
RNAcentral lists this ribosomal RNA (460 nucleotides) under uncultured bacterium. Its description in RNAcentral is "partial 16S ribosomal RNA". It matches the Rfam family "Bacterial small subunit ribosomal RNA", at positions 338 to 795 of the family's 1533-position model. The record is from RNAcentral.